RNAcentral lists this ribosomal RNA (253 nucleotides) under uncultured bacterium. RNAcentral describes it as "partial 16S ribosomal RNA". It matches the Rfam family "Bacterial small subunit ribosomal RNA", at positions 524 to 776 of the family's 1533-position model. The record is from RNAcentral.
UACGGGGGGUGCGAGCGUUGUCCGGAAUCACUGGGCGUAAAGGGCGCGUAGGUGGCUUUGUAAGUUUGCGGUGAAAGCCCGGGGCUCAACCCCGGGUCUGCGGUGGGUACGGGCAGACUAGAGUGCAGUAGGGGAGACUGGAAUUCCUGGUGUAGCGGUGAAAUGCGCAGAUAUCAGGAGGAACACCGAUGGCGAAGGCAGGUCUCUGGGCUGUAACUGACGCUGAGGAGCGAAAGCAUGGGGAGCGAACAGG